RNAcentral lists this ribosomal RNA (497 nucleotides) under uncultured bacterium. RNAcentral describes it as "partial 16S ribosomal RNA". It matches the Rfam family "Bacterial small subunit ribosomal RNA", at positions 28 to 507 of the family's 1533-position model. The record is from RNAcentral.
GAUGAACGCUGGCGGCGUGCCUAAUACAUGCAAGUCGAGCGAACAGAUGAGGAGCUUGCUCCUCUGACGUUAGCGGCGGACGGGUGAGUAACACGUGGAUAACCUACCUAUAAGACUGGGAUAACUUCGGGAAACCGGAGCUAAUACCGGAUAAUAUAUUGAACCGCAUGGUUCAAUAGUGAAAGACGGUUCUGCUGUCACUUAUAGAUGGAUCCGCGCCGCAUUAGCUAGUUGGUAAGGUAACGGCUUACCAAGGCAACGAUGCGUAGCCGACCUGAGAGGGUGAUCGGCCACACUGGAACUGAGACACGGUCCAGACUCCUACGGGAGGCAGCAGUAGGGAAUCUUCCGCAAUGGGCGAAAGCCUGACGGAGCAACGCCGCGUGAGUGAUGAAGGUCUUCGGAUCGUAAAACUCUGUUAUUGGGGAAGAACAAAUGUGUAAGUAACUAUGCACGUCUUGACGGUACCUAAUCAGAAAGCCACGGCUAACUACGUG